CCGAGAUCCCUUUCCUUCCCCCUUCAGAUUAAGGGAUUAGCAGCUCAGGACCCGGAGAGCCCGAGCCACCCCCCGCCGUGGCUGCACGGCCCGGGUUGCAUGCAGGAGGAGUCUAUCCGCCCCGCGCUAAGGAGUUGCACCGAGGGACGUUGCAUGUCCUCAUGAAUGGGGGUGGUGUGGUUCUUGGGGUGAGGAGGGGACGAUGUAUUGCAUUAGCCCGCCCCUCCCCCACCGCAGCUGCUUCCAUUGCACCGUGCCCCACACAGCUGCUCCUUCCAGAGCGUGAUGCUGCACUGACCUCCCCAUCGGCCCAGCCCCCUCCCCAGAGCUCUGCCUAUGACACCGUUGUGCAGCUUUGAUUCCACCCCAUAGAGGGCAUCGGCGACCUAUGUCCUAGUGGAGUUCAGUCAGUGAUUCUCCACGUUUUGUUUUCCGCACCCGAACUGUGUAUCGCACCCAUCUCCCAGGAACUAAACCAGGAGCCGCCCCCCCUCUCCUUUAUGGUGCUCUCGACUCCCGCCCCCGAACACACACAGCAGUCCAAGCCCUUGAAAGUUGAGAACCUCCGGGCUGGCUACUUUCACUUGAAAUCAAGGACAAAAGUUUGCAGUUCCCACCGGAGAAGCCAGGCGAACAACUCAGCAAGUGUUCGCGCACAAAUACAGCGGCUGGUUCUGUUCCAGAGCAAGCGCUGCCGCCAAGUUAAUGGCAAUGAGUGAGGUGCUGGGGGCUAAGGCCCUGCACCCCCGCAGCAGCGCUGGACGGGCGUGGAAAUGGCUCCGGACGACGGUGGAACGCCCAUUGGGGUGACUCCUGUGCUCUUUGGGUACGUGUGCGUGUCGGGUGCAGCGUGGUUGUAGCCACUUUGGUCCCAAGAUAUUAGAGCCAAGGUGGGUCACUGUGGGGCACUGGGGCCAGCAUUGAGAGCCAGGGGAAACUCCCCCCUCCUGAGCCCUCCACCCUGCUCCCUGCAGAACAGCGCCCCCCAAAGGCAACAUCGCUUCUCUGCAGACGUAUAUAACGCCUGAUGACAGAGCCUAGCUCCCCGCACACCACAUCUAGAACGAAGCCAGCCUGAGGCUUGGUAGAGUGGUAUC
RNAcentral lists this long non-coding RNA (1097 nucleotides) under Gopherus agassizii (Agassiz's desert tortoise). Its description in RNAcentral is "lncRNA (ENSGAGG00000007526.1)". The record is from RNAcentral. Lineage: Eukaryota; Metazoa; Chordata; Testudines; Testudinidae.